Non-coding RNA from Stegastes partitus (bicolor damselfish), 449 nucleotides. The record is from the annotation of a RefSeq genome assembly. Lineage: Eukaryota; Metazoa; Chordata; Actinopteri; Pomacentridae.
AGAACAGAAAAGGACUCCCACUGUCACAUACAUUCAGUAUGUAAACCAACAUAACAGAUAGUGUGUGGAAGAUGCUGUCACUGCAUUACUGGGUCAUUUUUCCUUUGUUGGUGAUUACACUGAAAGGUGUCAACUGUCAACAACUGACUGCAGUGAAGGAUGAAGAGUCCGGUUUAGAAGGCAGCACUGUCACUCUGAUCUACAAAUACUCCCAAGCCGCUACUUAUACUGACUAUUUCUUCUGGUAUCGACAACAUGCAGGAAAACCUCCAGAGUUCCUCAUCUAUCACUCAGGAACACAGAAUGAAACUAAAGCUGGACUCUCUGCUACAGUGAGUGGUGAUAAAAACCACAUCACUCUGAAGAUCUCCUCUGCUGCAGUGACAGACUCUGCUGUGUACUACUGUGCUGUGAGGCCCACACUGGCAGCAGCACAUAAGGCUGGUUGA